AUGGAAGCUCUCUCUCUCUUUUCUCACUUAGGAACCAAGAACCCGGAUGGAGGCUCUCUCUCUCUUUUUUUCUUUUCUCACUUAAGAAACAAGAACCCGGAUGGAGGCUCUCUCUCUCUCUCUUCUCACUUAGGAAACAAGAGCCCGGAUGGAGGCUCUCUUUUUCUUUCUCUCUCUCUCUCUUCUCACUUAGGAAACAAGAACCCGGAUGGAGGCUCUCUUUUUCUUUCUCUCUCUCUCUCUUCUCACUUAGGAACCAAGAACCCGGAUGGAGGCUCUCUUUUUCUUUCUCUCUCUCUUUUCUCACUUAGGAACCAAGAACCCGGAUGGAGGCUCUCUCUCUCUUUUUUUCUUUUCUCAGUUAAGAAACAAGAACCCGGAUGGAGGCUCUCUCUCUCUCUCUCUCUCUCUCUCUCUCUCUCUCUCUCUCUCUCUUCUCAGGAAACAAGAACCCGGAUGGAAGCUCUUUUUCUCUCUCUCUCUCUCUUUUCUCACUUAGGAAACAAGAACCCGGAUGGAAGCUCUUUUUCUCUCUCUCUCUCUUUUCUCACUUCGGAAACAAGAACCCGGAUGGAAGCUCUCUCUCUUUUUUUUCUUAGGAAACAAGAACCCGGAUGGAGGCUCUCUUUCUCUCUCUCUCUCUCUCUCUCUCUCUCUCUCUCUCUUUUUUCUCACUUAGGAAACAAGAACCCGGAUGGAAGCUCUCUCUCUCUUUUUUUCCUUAGGAAACAAGAACCCGGAUGGAGGCUCUCUUUCUCUCUCUCUCUCUCUUUUCUCACUUAAGAAACAAGAACCCGGAUUGUAACCUCCAGCUACUGAAGUUAUUUGCCAAGUACAGUAGAGUCUCACUUAUCCAACAUUCUGGAUUAUCCAACGCAUUUUUGUAGCCAAUGUUUUCAAUGCAUCGUGAUAUUUUGGUGCUAAAUUCGUAAAUACAGUAAUUACUACAUAGGAUUACUGCGUAUUGAACUACUUUUUCUGUCAAAUUUGUUGUAUAAGAUGAUGUUUUGGUGCUUAAUUUGUAAAAUCAUAACCUAAUUUGAUGUUUAAUAGGCUUCUCCUUAAUCUCUCCUUAUUAUCCAACAUAUUCGCUUAUCCAACGUUCUGCCGGCCUGUUUAUGUUGGAUAAGUGAGACUCUACUGUAUUAUCAAAAUAUUUAUUUAUUUACAGCAUUUAUAUCCCGCCCUUCUUUCUCACCCCGAAGGGGACUCAGGGCGGAUCACAUGACACAUAUAGGCAAACAUUCAAUGCCUUUUAACAUAGAACAAAGACAAACAAACAUAGACUCCGAGCGGGCCUCGAACUCAUGACCUCCUGGUCAGAGUGAUUCAUUGCAGUGAGUGAUUCAUUGCAGCUGCUCUCCAGCCUGCGCCACAGCCCGAGCCCUAGUUAACUAGGUUAACUAGCUUUAACUGGGUUAACGAGCGCAACAACAACAACAAAACUUUAUUUAUAUACCGCUCUAUCUCCGAUAAGGACUCAGAGCGGUUUACACAUCACAAAAACAAUCAUUACACAAGAAACCAAUAUAACAGCAAUUAACAAACAUGUUUAAAAUUCCAAUAUUUUAAAACAAUGUAAGAGCAAUUGCAACGAAUACAUAGAAUACAUAGCAUGGACCAGAAGUCUACCCUCACCCGGGUGUCCCUUGGGCAACGUCUUUGUAGACGGCUGAUUCUCUCACACCAGAAGCGACUUGCAGUAUUAUUCUCAAUUUGCUUCUGACAUGACAAAUAAAUAAAUAAAUACCAGUCACCAUCUGUUUGCCCACAUAAAACCACAAUAUAACCUAGCUAAGAAACUAAAGCCGAUACAAUUAUCAAAUGCAAUUUUCCAAAUCAGUGCUCCGAAUAACCCCAGGAACAGACCUAAAGACCAAGAAAAUUGCGUAUUAUUGACAUACCAACCGGCAAUAUGUAAAAUAGAGACACUAGAUAGAGAUGGUUGAGAAAAAGAUUGUAAAACUUUUUUCAUACAAGGUACUGUGCAAAAGAUGGAAGUCAAUUUUAUCUUCUUUCUGUAUUGUUGUUGUUGUUGUUGUUGUUGUUUCUUUUCCUUUUCUUACCCCCUCUUCCUUCCUUUCCUGUCACGGUUUCUAUAUAAUGAGAGCCAGUAUGUAAUUUAGAUGCAGAUUCUUUGGAUCUUUCUGUGGCCGGCGCAUGCAUGAUGCGCUCAUGGCUCGUUCAUGUGCGACUAAAAGGGGACACGCAACCUGAAGCUCCUAAUGGGUGCCCGUCUCCUCCUCCCCGAACCGGAUCAAUACCAAUUGCUCUCUCGCUUCUGCCAGUGGCCAGGAAAGGGCAUUCUGUGUUAAGAGUUGCCUUGGACAGCAGGACAAGGGUGAGAAAUACCUCCUUUCGUUCCCAAGCAAGGAAAGCUCACUUGUUGUGUGCAUGCAAACACACACACACACAAAGCUCCCAACUUAGCAUCACAUCUAGUCUGGCCUUGGCUGUAUUUUAACUGUGUCGAUUGAGUUUGUCCCCAUGUGAGCCGCCCUGAGCCCAUUCGAGGAGAUGGAGGCAGGAUAUAAAAACAAAGUUGUUGUUAUUAUUAUUAUUAUUAUUGGCUAUUUCCUCACGCGGAAGGGUUUGCAAUCUAAGCUUAUUUUAUUAUUAUUAUUAUUAUUAUUAUUAUUGGCUUUUUCCUCACACGGAAGGUUUUGCAAUCUAAGCUUAUUAUUAUUAUUAUUAUUAUUAUUAUUAUUAUUAUUGGCUUCUUCCUCAUACGGGUUUGCAUUAUGCUUAUAUAAUAUUAUAUUGCUAUUUCCUC
Anolis carolinensis (green anole) is the source of this 2773-nucleotide long non-coding RNA. The record is from Ensembl. Lineage: Eukaryota; Metazoa; Chordata; Lepidosauria; Squamata; Anolidae.